UAGGGAAUCUUCGGCAAUGGACGAACGUCUGACCGAGCAACGCCGCGUGAGUGAAGAAGGUUUUCGGAUCGUAAAACUCUGUUGGUAGAGAAGAACGUUGGUGAGAGUGGAAAGCUCAUCAAGUGACGGUAACUACCCAGAAAGGGACGGCUAACUACGUGCCUG
Molecule: ribosomal RNA, 165 nt
Filed under: uncultured bacterium
Lineage: Bacteria
Description: partial 16S rRNA
Rfam family: Bacterial small subunit ribosomal RNA
Source: RNAcentral